UCCCUGGUGGCUCAAACAGUAAAGAAUCUGCCUGCAAUGCAGAAAACCCGGGUUUGAUCCCUGGGUCGGGAA
This 72-nucleotide transfer RNA is filed under the name Ovis aries (sheep). It matches the Rfam family "tRNA". From Rfam's summary of the family: Transfer RNA (tRNA) molecules are approximately 80 nucleotides in length. Their secondary structure includes four short double-helical elements and three loops (D, anti-codon, and T loops). Lineage: Eukaryota; Metazoa; Chordata; Mammalia; Artiodactyla; Bovidae. The record is from Rfam by way of RNAcentral.